RNAcentral lists this ribosomal RNA (489 nucleotides) under Mustela putorius (European polecat). Its description in RNAcentral is "partial 16S ribosomal RNA". The stretch from base 153 to 489 matches the Rfam family "Bacterial large subunit ribosomal RNA", at positions 569 to 1054 of the family's 2925-position model. The record is from RNAcentral. Lineage: Eukaryota; Metazoa; Chordata; Mammalia; Carnivora; Mustelidae.
CUAGCCCAACUUAUCACUAACUCAAUUAUCACAGUCACAUAAAUCCAAAACAUUUAAUCACAUUAUUACAGUAUAGGAGAUAGAAAUUCUACUUGGAGCUAUAGAGAAAGUACCGCAAGGGAGCGAUGAAAGAAAAAUUCAAAGUAAUAAACAGCAAAGAUUACACCUUAUACCUUUUGCAUAAUGAGCUAGCUAGAAUAAUUCAGCAAAGAGAUCUUAAGCUAAAUCCCCCGAAACCAGACGAGCUACCUACGAACAAUCCACAGGGAUACACUCAUCUAUGUCGCAAAAUAGUGAGAAGAUUCAUAGGUAGAGGUGAAAAGCCUAACGAGCCUGGUGAUAGCUGGUUGCCCAGAACAGAAUCUCAGUUCAACUUUAAAUUUACCUAAUAACCCCCAAAUUGUAAUGUAAAUUUAAAAUAUAGUCUAAAAAGGUACAGCUUUUUAGAAUAAGGAUACAACCUUGCUUAGAGAGUAAAAUUAAACAUAA